GUAGUACUAGGAACAAAGAUUAAAGGACUAAACAUGCUGAAUCAGUUGGGUUGGUUAAUUUGGAGUUAUAAAUCAUACAUGUUUGUCUCUUUAUGUGAACGUCAGAACCAAGGAGAAGCUUAUAAAAGUGAUAGUCACGUACCUUAAGAUGGUACCUUACUUGAAGAGUGAUGGUACAGUAUCACCUUGUGGAAGCUUCCCUUUCUUAGCGGUUGU
This 216-nucleotide long non-coding RNA is filed under the name Sorghum bicolor (sorghum). Its description in RNAcentral is "long non-coding RNA (SBIC_LNC012655)". Lineage: Eukaryota; Viridiplantae; Streptophyta; Magnoliopsida; Poales; Poaceae. The record is from RNAcentral.